RNAcentral lists this transfer RNA (74 nucleotides) under Chryseobacterium hagamense. RNAcentral describes it as "tRNA-Ser". It matches the Rfam family "tRNA". From Rfam's summary of the family: Transfer RNA (tRNA) molecules are approximately 80 nucleotides in length. Their secondary structure includes four short double-helical elements and three loops (D, anti-codon, and T loops). Further hydrogen bonds mediate the characteristic L-shaped molecular structure. tRNAs have two regions of fundamental functional importance: the anti-codon, which is responsible for specific mRNA codon recognition, and the 3' end, to which the tRNAs corresponding amino acid is attached (by aminoacyl-tRNA synthetases). tRNAs cope with the degeneracy of the genetic code in two manners: having more than one tRNA (with a specific anti-codon) for a particular amino acid; and 'wobble' base-pairing, i.e. permitting non-standard base-pairing at the 3rd anti-codon position. Lineage: Bacteria; Pseudomonadati; Bacteroidota; Flavobacteriia; Flavobacteriales; Weeksellaceae. The record is from RNAcentral.
GAGAUCAUAGUUUAAUCGGAAAAAUUUAUUCCUGCUAAGAAUGGAUGCGGGUUCGAAUCCUGCUGAUCUCCCCA